GAUGAACGCUGGCGGCGUGCUUAACACAUGCAAGUCGAACGGUGAAGGCGGAGCUUGCUCUGCUGGAUCAGUGGCGAACGGGUGAGUAACACGUGAGCAAUCUGCCCCUGACUCUGGGAUAAGCGCUGGAAACGGCGUCUAAUACUGGAUACGAGCUGCGAAGGCAUCUUCAGCAGCUGGAAAGAACUUCGGUCAGGGAUGAGCUCGCGGCCUAUCAGCUUGUUGGUGAGGUAACGGCUCACCAAGGCGUCGACGGGUAGCCGGCCUGAGAGGGUGACCGGCCACAGGGGGAGGAAGAAAGGCCCGGGACUCAGAGGGGGGGCAGAAGGGGGGAAUAUGGAAGAGGGGGGAAAGGCUGGAGGCAGCAACGCGGGGGGAGGGAGGAGGGCUUUCGGUUUAAAAACCUUUUUAGGGGGGAAAAAAGAAAAGGAGAGGGACCAUGAAGAAAAAGCGCGGGAAAACAAGGGC
RNAcentral lists this ribosomal RNA (468 nucleotides) under uncultured bacterium. RNAcentral describes it as "partial 16S ribosomal RNA". It matches the Rfam family "Bacterial small subunit ribosomal RNA", at positions 28 to 508 of the family's 1533-position model. The record is from RNAcentral.